RNAcentral lists this ribosomal RNA (412 nucleotides) under uncultured bacterium. RNAcentral describes it as "bacterial SSU rRNA". It matches the Rfam family "Bacterial small subunit ribosomal RNA", at positions 29 to 424 of the family's 1533-position model. The record is from RNAcentral.
AACGAACGCUGGCGGCGUGGAUAAGACAUGCAAGUCGAACGGGACUUUUUCUGGUAGCAAUACCGGAAAAGUCUAGUGGCGAACGGGUGCGUAACACGUGGACAAUCUGCCUUAAAGUGGGGGAUAGCUCGGCGAAAGCCGAAUUAAUACCGCAUGUGAUCAGCUAAGACAUCUUAGCGAAAUCAAAGCCGGGGCAACCUGGCGCUUAUUGAGGAGUCCGCGGCCUAUCAGCUAGNGGUGAGGUAACGGCUCACCAAGGCUAUGACGGGUAGCUGGUCUGAGAGGACGACCAGCCACACUGGAACUGAGACACGGUCCAGACACCUACGGGUGGCAGCAGUCGAGUAAUUUUUCNCAAGUCGGGGAAACCCUGAAGGAGCGACGCCGCGUGGAGGAUGAAGGUCUUCGGAUU